Molecule: long non-coding RNA, 7872 nt
Filed under: Gossypium barbadense (sea-island cotton)
Lineage: Eukaryota; Viridiplantae; Streptophyta; Magnoliopsida; Malvales; Malvaceae
Description: long non-coding RNA (GBAR_LNC006117)
Source: RNAcentral
CCGGCUUCAACGCAUUUUCUAUUGCCGUUAUUAGACGCUUCCAUAUAUUAUCCCUUUUUUGAAUCACUUCCCGUCCAUAGAACUCAUCAAAUCCAAGGGGCAGGAACUUAGCCUUCUUUGGAUCAAUCUCUUCACCUUCUUUCAGAGGUGGCUGCCAAAAUAAUCGGACACCAUGUUCCUCAUCCUCAAUGUAAUUGAUCAAUUGUCCAGUUGGGGUAUGCAAAAUGAGUGGGUCUUCAGUAUAUAUUAGCUUUGACGGAUCUUCAGGAUCAGGUUCCGGUUCUUUGUUGAUAAGUACAAAUUCAGGAGUCUCAUCUGAUCAAGAAAAUGUAAACAUCCAUUUAAAAAAACCAAAAAAGAAAAGGAUUCUUCAUAUCACUUUUGGAGACUAAGAAAUAGUAACAGAAGCGAAUAAAGAAUACCUUUCGACCACCAAUAUUCAAGCUCUGCAGGCAUAGGUAACCUCAGGGGAGCUUUAUAAAAUGAGUUCAGCCACAUUUCUCUUUCCUGAUCAACUUCAUGCACAUAUGUCUUCCAAUAAUCAGGAACCUGCCAACAAACAUACUUAUUUCUUCUCCCUUUUCAUAAUUGUGGAAAGAAUCCACCACGCAAAAGAAAAGCUUUUACUUACUUCGUAGAACUGAUUGAUAAAGCCUGGUGCCAUCCACACAUCUUCCUCCUCAUAGAAAUAGGGGUGUUGAGGAUCACCAUAAGGGCCCCUCUCUUCCCUAACCACUAUACGUGCAAACCAAGAUAAAAAGUCAAUAUUAUAUAAGGUUAAUGUUUAAAAUUGUCAGUGAUUAAAUGUAAAAAGGCAUAGGGAUUCCGAAGUAUCAUGUAGAGGGUAAAUCCAACAGAGAAAGUCAUCCAUUCAAAUUUCAGAGUAUAGUCAAGUCAGGCCUUCCGCAACGAGGAACAUCCGACAUGACAAACUGCACUUGAACUUCAAAUCUAUUCUAGAGGACCCAUUAAACAAAUUAUACAAAACAGUCAACAAGAGGCCCCUUGAAUCUCCAAAGAACUUCCUUUUGCAUUCAAUAAACAGAUAAGCAGAAGAUUGUGAGGGAGGCUUUUAGCAACAAUAACACUUAUAAGCUAUAACCCAUAUUCAUCUCUAAAUAUGAGUGUGUACAACUUCAAAAGAUUCAGCUUCAUCACAAGCCAAAAAGUUGACUUAUUCAGUUGCUGCAAGGUACAAAGUUCAGCCACUUCUAUUUUCCUUUUUGUUUUCUUCUCUUUCUGUUUCUUACUCUAGCAUAGCUCUACAGCCAUGAUCUAAUUAGCACAUGCUUGAAACAUUGGCAUGAUUGACACUAGGGGACACAACUCUCAUGUCAACCAUAUCAGACACUUGUAGGGACAACCAUAAGAGAAAAUUAUAUGUCAAAUAUACCUGAACAAGUCGAAUUUUAAAGAUGUUAUGCAUUUUUUGUUGAAGAAACUUGCACAGAGAUCUAUCUUGUUUCCAUAUAUAAAAUCUUAAAAGUUACUGUGUCAAACAAGAUUUUGUGGUUAUGCAAAUCUAAUAGUUAAUAAAGCAAGACUACAUACUUCCAUCUGGCUUAUUAAGAAACAUCCGAGCCUUAGCAGCAGCAACCUCUGCAAUACCAGCAUGCAUCUGAAAAACUGCAAUAUCAGAGAAAUGCCAUAAUAUAGAAUUUAUUCCAAUUCCCACUCCCCCCCCCCCCGGAAACUUCAUUUUGAACUAUUUAUUAAGUAGGAAACAAAUUGAGAAUACCGCUGAAAUGUUCUCAUCACAACCAUCUAAAUCCUCCAAUAACUCUCCAAAAUAGAAUCUACCCUGCACCGUUACAAAUUAUGGAACACAAAAGCAGUCAAGCACUUUUAUAAGACAAUUUGAGUAGCAGAACAAGUGAAAAAUAAUAUAUCAUAUGUGCAUGUAAUAUAGUAUCAACCAUUAACCAAAUAGAACGAUGAAUGUUUUGCAUUCUCUUAAAACCAUUAUAUCGUAGCAUCUUUCUUUUGAAAAAAUAUUGUACAAAUUUCCUACUUUUCAACUUUUAUGUUACUAGAAAGCAUUAUUUUAAAGAAAACUGAGGCCUAUAAAGCAGAGGCAAAAAUUUGGGUGCAGCAACACAUACAAAAUUUUAUGUAAAAUAAAUCCACACCUUCAUGGAAGAAAUGGAUUCAAUUACACAAAUUGAGAAUCAAACAGAACAGUUUAUAUUUUAAGCACAUACAUAGAUGGUGCGCUCAUUGACUUCAUAUACACCACACCCAUGCAUUCUGCCAUGCUUCCACUGGCCAGCAUAGCGGUAUCGACCCUUCUCCCUGAAACAGAAAUGAUUGUCCUCUUAACACCACAAAUUGAGAUACAUGCCUACUAAAGUCUCAAAAGUUCGGCAGAAAAAGUAAGAUACAAGUGCCUUGCAUGAUACAAUGUAAAUGCUCAAUAUGUGCAUGUGCAGAUAGGACAAUUGGGUAGGAUUAGGAAAAGCAACAUGCAUAUGAUCAAAAAUAAAAAUAAAAGAAGGCAGAUUCAAAUGCAAUGACAAAAAUAAUAACAAGACAGAAAGAAAUAGAAUAUUUGACGGAGAAACAUACGGUUUUCUGCCAAAAUGUUUGAUCCAUAUAUCACUCUCAUAAAAUGGUAUUUCAUAUUGCCCAUCCGCCAGGCGAAUGCUAUCCUCAACAUCCAUCUCUAACCAUUCUUUAUCUUCUGGAGUCAUGAAAUCUCUUGAUAUUAUUUUCCCUUCAGCUCGCAUUUUUGCUUCAAGCCUAGAAAAAUGGGAAAAUUCCAACUUCAUUGUAUCAUUUAUAAUCAAUUGCUGAGAUUGUAAAACCUAUGCUAUAAUAUAAGUGCAUCAUAAAUAGUUCACAAAUUGUUACGUACUUGGAACCUGGCACAGGUUCUAUAUCAGGUAUAUCAACUUCAACAACCCCAUGACCUUCCAUAUUGUUUUGCAACCAUUCACCUUCAUACCUAUAAAAGGAAGCAUCAUGUAAAUUUUUUCUUUAAAAAAAGCAUAAGCAGCUCAGAAGUACUUGAUGCAACUUAGCCCAAUAUGGAACGAUUUCUAGACCCAUAAAACAGAGGAAAAUGAAAUAUUUAAAGAGCACUCUGGGUUGAAUAGUGCAGACGCUGUCAUUUCAAUCCUAACAGUGUUGUCAAGACUCGAGUCACUAGAGCCCACAACGUAGGGAGUUUGAUAUAGUCUAGCACCUUGGUGCUUGACAUCACUAACUCGUAUAACUACAAACAAUCUUAUCUACAUGUUUAAGGGUCCUUCAAUGCAGGAUGGUACUAGAACAUAGGUAUGAAGAAAGAAGAAAACAGCAUUAUGAUAAAGUGAAGAAAUACACAUACACAAGAAAUCAAGACUGAAGUGUCAAGCAUUGACAAACCUGACCAGCCCCUGUUCUGCAACAUAAACACCUUUGCCAUGAGCCAAAUCAUCCCAAACCGUGCCUUCAUACCUUAAACAAAAUGCAGAAUGACUAUAAUGAGUAAUCAAACAAGUCAAAGCAAAACCAGAAUCAGGCAUACCGUUACCCGGAACUUCAAACAUGUCAAAGGCAAACUACUGGAUUAAAAACGAGUGGAGGACUGACUUUCAACACAAAGCCACAAUUUUGCUUCGUGCAAUUGACCAAGUUCAAACUUAUCCAAAUGCACAUUUAGCUACCUCAUUUACAAACUCCCCAAUCCUAAAUAAACUACCAUACUGCAAUUAAGUAAUUGCAUGCCUUAACAAGACAAAUAGUAACAAAAUGAGGGAAAAGAGUGAGAGAGAGAGUCGGUUUAACGUACAAGCUUCCAUCAGGGAAAAUGUAGCUGACCCAAUUGAGAAACUCCUCAAUCCUAUCCAACUCUUCAAUAACUGCUUUGGGGUUCGAAAUAUCAUAAUGAUUGUCCGGUAUAGCCGGAUAAGACUUCCGAUAAGGAACAUAAAACGGGGCAAUCCCCGGGUCCCGGCCCUCCUUAAUCUCAUCCCUCACAAUUUCCCAAUCUUCCUCAUCAGCCCAAACCGGGUCCCAACCGGGUUUGGUCAUCUCCAGCGGAGCAUCCACCCAAUACUCCUUCAAAUCUUCUUCCCGCCAAUUCUCGGGGUCUGGUGGAAAAUCCCAUAAGUCUUCGAAGUAAACGUAGUCUUCGUCUUCUUCCUCUUGGAUCCUCUUGAUUCUCUUGCUCUCCAGCACCCGAGUGUACCUGCGGAUGUUGGUUUCAGGGGUGUUUACGGUUUCAGGUGGGGCCUCUCCGGGUCGGGUGUAAGUGAGGGUUUCGGAAUCGGAUUCCUCGAUGUAGUCGUCAGAGGAAUAGGAGGAGUAGUCGGAGUCGGAGUCGGAGUCUGGGUAUUGCUGUUGCGACUCAGUAAGUUGUUGUGCUUGUUCUUCUUCUUCAUCAUCCUCUUCUGGGUCUUGUGACUCAGUGAGUAGUUGUUGUUCCUCUUCGUUCGACAUUGUUUUGCAGUAGAAAGAAGGGAGAGGUUGAAGAAGAUAAGGUAGAGAAUGUUAAGAAGAAAAGGAACGUUAGGAUAGAAGACAGCGGUUUAUCAUUUCAAAAGGGUUUUGGGCGUUUUGGCCUUUUCCAUGUCUUUUAAGUGAUUUUUGUGGUACCUGUGUUUGCUUUCUAUUUUCAUUUUGGUAAGUAUUGACAAAUGAUAUUUUUUUUCAUGUGAAUUUGGUAGAUAAUAAUAUUUCACUAUUUUUAAAAUGUUUAACUUUAAAUUUAAUGCAUUUUCUUAAUUUUAAAUUUUUAAAAAUUUUAAAAAUUAAAAAUUAUUAAAUGUUUGAAAAAAAAACAUAGAAAUUAAAAUUUAGCGGGUGAAACAAAAACAUGAAAUGGAUCGAUACAAGGGUAGUAUUUCAGGGAAGGAGGCACUAACAAUUUCAGGGUUCUAGAUAAAAUUCUCCACACCUUUUUCUUAGGUUAUCAAAGGUUAAAUUUUUAUAUUGAACUUAAACAGAUAAACUUUUAUAGUGCAUCAUCCAUUGCUUAUGAACUCAUUUACUAAACUUUUGGGCUAGAAUUAUUGAAGAAUCAUAUUUGACACUCUUUUGAUGGAUGUAUCUUUAUUUAUAUAUUUAUAUGCUUAAUUAUUGAAUUUAAAUUGCUAGACUAUCCAACAGAAACCUCCAUUGUUGGAUUUAAAUUGCUAGCUGGGUAUAUUUAUGUUGACUGCACUGACAGUAGAAAGCAAAUUUCUAUCUCCAUAUCAACUAUCAACACUAAGCAUAUCAUUGCUAGAAGUUACUGUACACAACUUCUCUAGAUAAAGCAAGCGUUAGAGAUCACUAUGGUGUUAAACAAAGUGUUGCAACAUUUGACAACACAAGUACAAUAAACAUUUCAAAGAAUAAUAUAUUGUACCUACGCAAAUGAUUAUGAGCCUCCAAGUGUUAGAUGUCAUGUUGAUUCUUCAAAAUUGCAAAAGUGAUGGAGUUUUAUGGUGAUUUAAUUAUUAGUAUUCGUUAUUUUUAGACCACAAUAUUUGCUGAGGAGUCUUUGUACUUAUAGCACAUGAUUAUGAACGUCCAGAUACCAUGUUGGUUCUUCAAGAUUGGAGAAGUAAUGGAGUUUUAUGGUGUUUAAACAUUAAUUUUCGUUGCAUUUGGACCACAAUAUUUGCUGAGGAGUCUUGAGCUUCAGAUGCACAGAUUGCAGAAGUGAUGGAAUUUUAUGGUGGUUUAAACAAAUAUUCUUGACUUGAAAUGCAAGGGAAUUUUACUUUAAACAUCAAUCUUGAGAUUGCUCCAUUUACCAUGUUUACUUGAUAAAAGAAUAAAACCAAUUCUCAUGAUUCAUAUUCGGUUGUUAAUGUUCAAAAUUUGAUACGAAUACGAAUCAAAGUCAAGCUCAAAUAUUAAAGCUCAUGUGAUAGCUCAACUUGCUGUAAAUCACAAAGUAGAAUUCAAAUUUGAUUUCCAAUAUUCAAAAAACCUUCAAGCCAAACCCAAAUAUCUUCCAAGAGUAUAAACUUUUCCCAUUUGCACUCCUAGCCACAGCACUCCCAAUGUGAAAUUUUACAUGAAAAUAAAACCAAUAGGACCAAAAGUAUUGAAGUUGAUCAUUCACCCCAAAUCCCAAUUGCCUGAAUGAAACUUUCGUUGAUCCUUCAACUUUCUUAUAAGAAUCAAAGCAUCCAAGAAAUAUUCCAGAUGAGAUUUUGCCAAUGGUCUAGGCUUUUUCUUUGCAUAGGAAAAAAUGUGCCAAAGCUCAAAAUGAUUUUUCAAUGUCUUAACUUUGACGUUACUUUUCUCUGUUUUCAAAAAAUAAAAGCUAAGUGUAUACUUUAAAUUAAGAUUGGCCAAAAAAGCAAUCAAAUGCAACCUCAACAAAGACUCUGACCCUCGUAAGUGCAAUCAUUCAAGUUCCUACAAUGAGGCUCAAUGCCUUUUAGUAUCUGGGUAUGAUUCCAAAUAACAAACCGGAAUAUGCAAAGAUAAGAUGUCUGAAUAUUUCUUCGGUGCAGCAUGCAGCUCAGAACGGUUAAGAUUUCCAAGUCGUCUUACACGACUUCUGGUAGUAGUUGAAGGACAUGAUAAGAUCUUGCAUAAGGAGUGUAACUGAGACUUCUUUCCACUAGAUUGGUUUUCUGGUUGAAACUUAUGAUGAUCUUGCUUGAAUGCCCUCAACCUUCCUUUGUGGCCUAGCACAAAAGGGAAACUGACCGAAUCAAUUAUUUUCAAUGGAUCACUGGCGCUUUCCACACUUGACGGAGGAUGGGAUUUUAGUGGUAAUCUACGUUGUUUCAGUGCUAAAAUUGAUUCUCGCAAUGUAGAUGGAACCUGUAAAGCAAAAGAUAGUAACUAUUGAAAUCUGCAAUAUAAAAGCAAUGCAACUUCCAAAUGACUACCCAUUCAAUUAGCAUAAAGAAUUGUGAAAAUAAACAGAAUAGACAUUAAUGGUCAUUUCGGUUACAAUCUGAUAACGGAAUAAAGGCUUUUCAGACAAAUUCCCUAUUAGUCAAAGAGCAAAGGCUAUACCUUCAUAGACCAUUUUUUCCUCCACAUGCAAAUUACAGAGUUAGAACAGAAAUGAGAACAAAACAUGGAAAUAAAAUUGAAUUGUAUAAGAAUUUACCGCUGAAACAAGGCUGCAAGAAGCAAACGACAAUGAAGAUGAAGAGAAUGGAGGCUCCCUAGGCUUCUUUCCCUUCUGAUCAGCAGCAACAGAUCCAAAACUGGACUGUGUAACAUCAUCAUCAUCAUCCUCUUCGUCUUCAUCUUCGUCUUCGUCUUCCUCUCCAUCUUCCUCUUCAUCAACAACUUUGUGAACAUCUUUGGGAAUGGCUUUUUCCUCUUGGUUAGCCACGACAGAAGUACCUUCUUCAUCCUCCAGCAAACCCAUUUCCAUCUUCUUCUCCUCCUCUUUCUCUUUCUUCUUUAACUCUUCAUCCAUGUCUUCAAUGGCCUCUUCCAAACACAGUUCAGCCUCUAUAAGAUCAAGUUCCUUUUCAAUAAGCUUCAUCUUCAACUCACUAGCCUUCUUCUUCUCUUCAGUCCACUUUUCUAGUUUAUCAAAUCCUGGCUUCAACGCAUUUUCUAUUGCCGUUAUUAGACGCUUCCAUAUAUUAUCCCUUUUUUGAAUCACUUCCCGUCCAUAGAACUCAUCAAAUCCAAGGGGCAGGAACUUAGCCUUCUUUGGAUCAAUCUCUUCACCUUCUUUCAGAGGUGGCUGCCAAAAUAAUCGGACACCAUGUUCCUCGUCCUCAAUGUAAUUGAUCAAUCGUCCAGUUGGGGUAUGCAAAAUGAGUGGGUCUUCAGUAUAUAUUAGCUUUGACGGAUCUUCAGGAUCAGGUUCCGGUUCUUUGUUGAUAAGUACAAAUUCAGGAGUCUCAUCUGAUCAAGAAAAUGUAAACAUCCAUUUAAAAAAAACCAAAAAAGAAAAAGAAUUUUUGAUAUCCCUUU